UUGAAAGGGAAACGAUUGAAGUCAGUCGUGCUGGCGCGAAAUCAACCUUCUCGUCUUGAGAUCACAUGGCGUGGCGAGCCUCAAAACCGUCACGAAGCGUGAACUCUUGGUGAAAUGGAGCACUUUCGUGUCCGCUGGUUAACAUCAAUUUCGAACGUCAUAAAAAGGCUGGAGGGAUGUGGCUCCUUCGGGAGUGUUAUAACCUUUAGCGGAAUGUGGUGUUCGGGAUUGAGGAUUGCAACGAAUACCUUUAGGGCUGUUCCACCUGGCUUCUCUUUGGUAUCCUGGUGACGACAGCUUGCUGUCGUCGUUAGGAUUCGCCUUUGAACAGGUUAGAGUGUGAGCAAAUUCGUUAAGGAUGUUGACGUA
Molecule: ribosomal RNA, 369 nt
Filed under: uncultured Glomeromycotina
Lineage: Eukaryota; Fungi; Glomeromycota
Description: LSU rRNA
Source: RNAcentral